UUAAAAGGAACGCAGUCUAAGGUCGCCGCGUCCUGCGGCAACGACUGCAUGAUCUGCAUCAUGCAGA
Molecule: small RNA, 67 nt
Filed under: Sporosarcina newyorkensis
Lineage: Bacteria; Bacillati; Bacillota; Bacilli; Caryophanales; Caryophanaceae
Description: Bacillaceae-1 RNA
Rfam family: Bacillaceae-1 RNA
Source: RNAcentral